CUCCAAUCACAUGUAUGUUACACAUUUUGACCAUGUCCCACAUCUCUUGCAUGCUCUUGCCUUUUCGGUUCUGUUUUGUCUUUUUGCUACCUUUUAGAUAAACAACCAGUCCUCUAUAUCUGCAGAUUUCACAUACACACAUUCAGCCAACUGUGGUUUGAAAAUGUGAAUAAAAAUGUGUAUGCACUUUUUUUCUUGUCAUUAUUUUUUAAACAACACAGUAUUUACAGGUUGUUUACCCUAUAUUAACUAUUUUUUAUUUUUUAUUUUAUUUUUUUUUAUUUUUGACAGGCAGAGUGGACAGUGAGAGAGAGAGAGAGAGAGAGAGAGAGACAGAGUACCCUAUAUUAACUAUUGUAAAUCACCUGGAGAUUCUUCAGUCUGUAAGAGGAUAUCCACAGUAAAUAUGAAAAUACUAUGUCAUUGUACAUGAGGCACUGGAGUGCUGUGGAUUUUGCUAUCUAUGGGAGCUCCUGGAGCUACACUCAAUAUACCCAUCUUACUGUCUUCCAAACUCUUCCGUCUGCUAUGGCCAGUCUGCUGCUGAAUCCAUUCAGUGAGUUCUUGGGUCAGGCAAACUGAACCACCAGUUGUCAAUAUUACAGCCGCUGAACUAGAAUAUGAUGUUCUGGAAGUAUCUCUAAGUCUUGUUUAUCCAUCUUUAAAGCCUGACCUAGCAUCUCACACAUGGUCAGGGCUGGGUCCGUGGAUGUCUCCAAGUGAGUCUAAUGCCCUGGGAAAUGAUAAUCUACAAAUCUUCUAUUCUCCUCUGGGAAGAAACUCUAUUUUCACAGGCUUUUCCUCUUACAACAACAUAUAAAAAAGAUAAAAGAAGAUAAAAAGGUCAUUCAUGGUAAUCCUAUCAAAAUCUUAAAAAGCAAAAUGCUUUAUUAAAACAGCUAGUCCUUGAUAUUCCAUUAAGUCAGGUUUGACGAUAUAAACAAAAUCAGGUGCAGCAAGUCUGGAUCAUCCUCAUUGAUUUUGCUCUUUGGUCCACAAGCAAUACUGCGGGUUCUUCAAUGCACAAACUCUUCCCCACUGAUGUCUUUAGGGCCCCAGGUAUUCAUAAACUUGCUGCCCAGGAAAUUAUCAGGGAAAAAAAUUGAAAGUGUCCUGAAGAAACAGAAGACUCACUCGAGUUUAUACGCUUGUUCUUUGACAAGGAAAUUAAAAUAAACCUUGAAGCUAUACUCUAACUUUAUAUAUC
Molecule: long non-coding RNA, 1207 nt
Filed under: Oryctolagus cuniculus (rabbit)
Lineage: Eukaryota; Metazoa; Chordata; Mammalia; Lagomorpha; Leporidae
Description: lncRNA (ENSOCUG00000034675.1)
Source: RNAcentral